This 1650-nucleotide ribosomal RNA is filed under the name Triticum aestivum (bread wheat). RNAcentral describes it as "partial small subunit ribosomal RNA". Lineage: Eukaryota; Viridiplantae; Streptophyta; Magnoliopsida; Poales; Poaceae. The record is from RNAcentral.
AUGGCAGCGACGGCCGCCGCUAGGGGCGCCGCUUCUCGCUCCCCUCUCCUCCUCCACCACCACCGACUCCCUCAGGUUCCAGCCGGUGGGGGAGGUUCGCUGAGGGUGGGCGCGCUCGGGGCAGGACGGGAUUGGAGACGACGGGUCCGGGUUCGGGUCGGGGUUAGGGUUUUCGCGCGCUACUCCUCCCAGUCACAAGACUUCUCCAGUCGACUCCAAGAUAGAGCUGGCGAAUUGCCGAAAUUAGUCGAGGAUCUUCUCCAGACGUCGAUUAGCACAGGGCCUCGAGGUGCCUUUAGGAUGGCGCAAGGGAUCCAAGCUCUCCUUGGGGUUGGUGGGGAGUGGCUAAACGACUUCUCGAAGACAGCUAACACGUCAGAAGGAAUUCCAGCUCAGAUGCGGCUUGGUUUGCUUUCCCCUCUUUAUCUCAGAAGGCUUUUUGAACGCAUGGGUGCAACUUAUAUAAAGCUAGGUCAGUUCAUAGCGUCUGCACCAACUUUCUUUCCUGCAGAAUAUGUUGAAGAAUUCCAGAACUGUUUUGACCGAGCACCACCUGUUCCUUAUAGCGAGAUCGAGUCGAUAUUGCAUGAGGAGUUGCAGCGGCCAUUGGAUAGUGUUUAUGAGUACAUUGAUCCCGUGCCAAUAGCAUCUGCUUCAAUAGCACAGGUUCAUGGGGCUAGGUUGAAGAGCUCUCAGAAGGAUGUGGUAAUUAAAGUCCUGAAACCUGGAAUUGAAGAUACUUUGGUUGCCGAUCUGAAUUUUAUCUAUCUUGUUGCACGUGUUUUGGAGUUUCUAAGCCCUGAAUUAGAGAGGACAUCACUGGUAGCUAUCAUCAAGGACAUAAAGGAAUCAAUGCUUGAGGAAGUUGAUUUUAGAAAGGAGGCUGUAAAUAUGGAGGCUUUCCAGAGAUACAUCGAAGCAAUGGGAUUUGAUAGGCAGGCCAAAUCUCCAUUUGUAUAUCACCACUGUAGCACAAAGCGUGUCUUAACUAUGGAAAGAUUGUAUGGUGUUCCACUCACCGAUCUUGAUUCUAUAAGGUCUCUUGUUCCUGAUCCUGAGUUGACUUUAGUCACUGCGCUCAAUGUCUGGUUUGGAAGCUUGAUCUCAUGUGAAUCCUUCCAUGCGGAUGUGCAUGCAGGAAACCUAUGGUUGCUUCGUGAUGGACGUGUUGGAUUUAUUGAUUUUGGAAUUGUUGGUCGAAUAUCCCCAAGGACUUGGGCUGCUAUGGAGAUCUUUUUGGCUUCUUUCGCAACUGAGGAUUACAAUGCUAUGGCAUCAGCCCUUUCCGAAAUGGGUGCUACAGGGAAUGAUAUAGAUGUUGACUCCUUUGCAAAGGACUUGCAAAAGAUAUUCUCAUCGUUACAGCAGGAGCUGGACACUGAAAUUAUAGUGGCAGCUGCAAGAAGUUCUGAUGCUACAGCUGUAUCUGCUAAUGUUGUUGUAGACGAGAGGCAGAUGAAUGCACUGUUUCUUGAUCUGGUAAGGGUUAGCGAGUCAUAUGGGCUGAAAUUUCCUAGGGAAUUCGCUCUUCUCAUGAAGCAGCUUCUUUAUUUUGACCGGUACACAAGACUGCUGGCUCCCAGCAUGAACAUGCUGCGAGAUGAGAGGAUUAACAUUACUUCCAACAAGCAGACAAGAAGAAUGAAUUGA